RNAcentral lists this long non-coding RNA (211 nucleotides) under Macaca mulatta (Rhesus monkey). RNAcentral's name for it is "lncRNA (ENSMMUG00000059028.1)". Lineage: Eukaryota; Metazoa; Chordata; Mammalia; Primates; Cercopithecidae. The record is from RNAcentral.
AUCUCACAUGCAGAGGACAGGGAAACAAAAAGGAUUCAGAGAGACCGAGUAACUUUCUGAAAAUCACCCAGAAAGAAAUGCAGUGAAUCCAGGACUCAGAUGUUUUGCUCCUAAGUCCCAGGGAAGAUACAAAGUCUCUCCCUUGUAGGGAUUAUGAAGAAGCAGAUACAAGUGACAAAUCAAAGAACAAGGGACUCCCCAGGAACUGCCA